CCUUUGACGUUAGCGGCGGACGGGUGAGUAACACUGGGUAACCUACCUAUAAGACUGGGAUAACUUCGGGAAACCGGAGCUAAUACCGGAUAAUAUUUCGAACCGCAUGGUUCGAUAGUGAAAGAUGGUUUUGCUAUCACUUAUAGAUGGACCCGCGCCGUAUUAGCUAGUUGGUAAGGUAACGGCUUACCAAGGCGACGAUACGUAGCCGACCUGAGAGGGUGAUCGGCCACACUGGAACUGAGACACGGUCCAGACUCCUACGGGAGGCAGCAGCC
This 278-nucleotide ribosomal RNA is filed under the name uncultured Staphylococcus sp. Its description in RNAcentral is "partial 16S ribosomal RNA". It matches the Rfam family "Bacterial small subunit ribosomal RNA", at positions 83 to 355 of the family's 1533-position model. Lineage: Bacteria; Bacillati; Bacillota; Bacilli; Caryophanales; Staphylococcaceae. The record is from RNAcentral.